Molecule: ribosomal RNA, 1331 nt
Filed under: uncultured bacterium
Lineage: Bacteria
Description: bacterial SSU rRNA
Rfam family: Bacterial small subunit ribosomal RNA
Source: RNAcentral
GACGAACGCUGGCGGCGCGCCUAACACAUGCAAGUCGAACGAGCGAGAGAGAGUUUGCUUUCUCAAGCGAGUGGCGAACGGGUGAGUAACGCGUGAGGAACCUGCCUCAAAGAGGGGGACAACAGUUGGAAACGACUGCUAAUACCGCAUAAGCCCACAGGUCGGCAUCGACCAGAGGGAAAAGGAGCAAUCCGCUUUGAGAUGGCCUCGCGUCCGAUUAGCUAGUUGGUGAGGUAACGGCCCACCAAGGCAACGAUCGGUAGCCGGACUGAGAGGUUGAACGGCCACAUUGGGACUGAGACACGGCCCAGACUCCUACGGGAGGCAGCAGUGGGGAAUAUUGCACAAUGGGGGAAACCCUGAUGCAGCGACGCCGCGUGGAGGAAGAAGGUCUUCGGAUUGUAAACUCCUGUUGUUGAGGAAGAUAAUGACGGUACUCAACAAGGAAGUGACGGCUAACUACGUGCCAGCAGCCGCGGUAAAACGUAGGUCACAAGCGUUGUCCGGAAUUACUGGGUGUAAAGGGAGCGCAGGCGGGAAGACAAGUUGGAAGUGAAAUCUAUGGGCUCAACCCAUAAACUGCUUUCAAAACUGUUUUUCUUGAGUAGUGCAGAGGUAGGCGGAAUUCCCGGUGUAGCGGUGGAAUGCGUAGAUAUCGGGAGGAACACCAGUGGCGAAGGCGGCCUACUGGGCACCAACUGACGCUGAGGCUCGAAAGUGUGGGUAGCAAACAGGAUUAGAUACCCUGGUAGUCCACACCGUAAACGAUGAUUACUAGGUGUUGGAGGAUUGACCCCUUCAGUGCCGCAGUUAACACAAUAAGUAAUCCACCUGGGGAGUACGACCGCAAGGUUGAAACUCAAAGGAAUUGACGGGGGCCCGCACAAGCAGUGGAGUAUGUGGUUUAAUUCGACGCAACGCGAAGAACCUUACCAAGUCUUGACAUCCUGCGACGAUGCUGGAAACAGUAUUUUCCUUCGGGACGAGAGACAGGUGGUGCAUGGUUGUCGUCAGCUCGUGUCGUGAGAUGUUGGGUUAAGUCCCGCAACGAGCGCAACCCUUACUGUCAGUUACUACGCAAGAGGACUCUGGCAGGACUGCCGUUGACAAAACGGAGGAAGGUGGGGAUGACGUCAAAUCAUCAUGCCCUUUAUGACUUGGGCUACACACGUACUACAAUGGCGUUAAACAAAGAGAAGCAAGACCGCGAGGUGGAGCAAAACUCAGAAACAACGUCCCAGUUCGGACUGCAGGCUGCAACUCGCCUGCACGAAGUCGGAAUUGCUAGUAAUCGUGGAUCAGCAUGCCACGGUGAAUACGUUCCCGGGCCU